GCUUAACACAUGCAAGUCGAACGGCAGCACAGGGGAGCUUGCUCCCUGGGUGGCGAGUGGCGGACGGGUGAGGAAUACAUGGGAAUCUGCCCAAUCGUGGGGGAUAACGUAGGGAAACUUACGCUAAUACCGCAUACGACCUCCGGGUGAAAGCGGCGGACCGCAAGGCGUCGCGCGAUUGGAUGAGCCCAUGUCGGAUUAGCUAGUUGGCGGGGUAAAGGCCCACCAAGGCGACGAUCCGUAGCUGGUCUGAGAGGAUGAUCAGCCACACUGGAACUGAGACACGGUCCAGACUCCUACGGGAGGCAGCAGUGGGGAAUAUUGGACAAUGGGCGCAAGCCUGAUCCAGCCAUGCCGCGUGAGUGAAGAAGGCCUUCGGGUUGUAAAGCUCUUUUGUCCGGAAAGAAAAGCUUUCGGUUAAUACCCGGAAGUCCUGACGGUACCGGAAGAAUAAGCACCGGCUAACUUCGUGCCAGCAGCCGCGGUAAUAC
RNAcentral lists this ribosomal RNA (491 nucleotides) under uncultured Gammaproteobacteria bacterium. Its description in RNAcentral is "bacterial SSU rRNA". It matches the Rfam family "Bacterial small subunit ribosomal RNA", at positions 46 to 526 of the family's 1533-position model. Lineage: Bacteria; Pseudomonadati; Pseudomonadota; Gammaproteobacteria. The record is from RNAcentral.